GCGGCGAGCGAACGCGGAUUAGCCCAAACCAAUAAAGUUUUCUUUAUUGGGGUUGCGGACAUAUCAUAACGGAGAGGUAUCGUAAUUGAAGAGGUUUGGAAAGACCCACCACAGAAGGUAAUAGUCCUGUAUGUUAAACGAGAAGACUUUAGAUAUGAUCCAGAGUACCACGGGACACGUGAAACCCUGUGGGAAGCAGGAGGGACCACCCUCCAAGGCUAAAUACUACCUAGUGACCGAUAGCGUAUAGUACCGUGAGGGAAAGGUGAAAAGAACCCCGGGAGGGGAGUGAAAUAGAACCUGAAACCCUGCACUUACAAGCUGUGGAAGCACAUUUCUUGUGUGACCGCGUACUUUUUGUAGAACGGGCCAACGAGUUACGUUAAGUAGCAAGGUUAAGCACUUAAGGUGCGGAGCCGUAGCGAAAGCGAGUUUUAACUGAGCGUUCAGUUACUUGACGUAGACCCGAAACCGGGCGACCUACCCAUGAGCAGGAUGAAGCGAAAGUAAAAUUUCGUGGAGGUCCGAACCCACGAGCGUUGAAAAGCUCGGGGAUGACUUGUGGGUAGCGGUGAAAUUCCAAUCGAGCCCGGAGAUAGCUGGUUCUCCCCGAAAUAGCUUUAGGGCUAGCCUCAAGGUGAGAGAUACGGAGGUAGAGCACUGAAUGUCCUAGGGGGUAUUGCACCUACCGAAGACUAUCAAACUCCGAAUGCCGUCAUCUUAUACUUGGGAGUCAGACUGUGGGUGAUAAGAUUCAUAGUCGAAAGGGCAACAGCCCAGAUCGUCAGCUAAGGUCCCUAAAUGUAAGUUAAGUGGUAAAGGAUGUGGGAUUGCACAGACAACCAGGAUGUUGGCUUAGAAGCAGCCACUCAUUCAAAGAGUGCGUAAUAGCUCACUGGUCGAGUGAUCCUGCGCCGAAGAUUUCCGGGGCUAAAACUUACUACCGAAGCUACGGCAUCAGUAAUGAUGGGUAGGGGAGCUUCCCAUACGGGUUGAAGCAUGACCGUAAGGACAUGUGGACAGUAUGGGAGUGAGAAUGUUGGCAUGAGUAGCGAGAUGUGGGUGAGAAUCCCACAGGCCGUAAACCCAAGGUUUCCAGGGGAAGGUUCGUCCGCCCUGGGUUAGUCGGGACCUAAGCUGAGGCCGAAAGGCGUAGGUGAUGGACAACAGGUUGAUAUUCCUGUAC
Molecule: ribosomal RNA, 1186 nt
Filed under: Clostridioides difficile
Lineage: Bacteria; Bacillati; Bacillota; Clostridia; Peptostreptococcales; Peptostreptococcaceae
Description: partial 23S ribosomal RNA
Rfam family: Bacterial large subunit ribosomal RNA
Source: RNAcentral